This 429-nucleotide ribosomal RNA is filed under the name Bacillota bacterium. RNAcentral describes it as "Firmicutes bacterium partial 16S ribosomal RNA". It matches the Rfam family "Bacterial small subunit ribosomal RNA", at positions 355 to 776 of the family's 1533-position model. The record is from RNAcentral. Lineage: Bacteria; Bacillati; Bacillota.
UGGGGAAUUUUGGACAAUGGGCGAAAGCCUGAUCCAGCAAUGCCGCGUGUGUGAAGAAGGCCUUCGGGUUGUAAAGCACUUUUGUCCGGAAAGAAAUGGCUCUGGUUAAUACCUGGGGUCGAUGACGGUACCGGAAGAAUAAGGACCGGCUAACUACGUGCCAGCAGCCGCGGUAAUACGAAGGGUCCAAGCGUUAAUCGGAACUACUGGGCGUAAAGCGUGCGCAGGCGGUUGUGCAAGACCGAUGUGAAAUCCCCGUGCUUAACUUGGGAAUUGCAAUGGUGACUGCACGGCUAGAGUGUGUCAGAGGGGGGUAGCAUUCCGCGUGUGACAGUGAAAUGCGUAGAGAUGUGGAGGAAUACCGAUGGCGAAGGCAGCCCCCUGGGAUAACACUGACGCUCAUGCACGAAAGCGUGGGGAGCAAACAGG